AUGUACAAAGGUAAACUCUGUGUCAAGCAGAGGACGGUCCCCAGAUUAACUUUUCUUUCUGGGAGACAUAUUUGCAAGGCCGGCGAACAGGGCAUGCUUCCUUCCCAUGCCGCCAUAUCUUGAGCAACUUCCCACUUCCCCAGCAGCCCCAAGCCCGCAUCUCUUUCUGUAACGAGGAUGUGUUGCAUAAAUUGUCAUCUGCUCUCUCUUCAAGUUACACAUUCUUCUGGGACUUUCAGAUACCCUGUAUAAUUAAUUGUUAAUUUGUCUGUGUCCAUUUAAAUCUAUAGUCCAGCCAAAGGAUCCCCAGGGUGAAGGGAAGCCAGCUUACCAUCACCGUCUUCAAGGUAUCACCCUGGGUUCAAGACAAACACCAACCAGUUCCACUGUUCGUGAAGAUUAAAUUCAAGCUCUUGAGAUGAUAGAACCUCUGCAGUAAAAAGACCAGUUUCUCUAGAUCUUCAUUCACUGAUGUCCACCUCAGCUGUGCUUCCUGAUAACUGUGAACAGUGCUGCAGGGAUCGAGGGUGUUAUUCCCAUUAUUUUGGAAAAGAGAUGUACCACACUGCUGUAUGCUCCAGAAUCUGCCCAGGCGAUGCAUGGUGCCACCACCCACACCCAGAGUCAGCCUUCUCUCCUCCACACUAAGUCUUUCUGGAAACUCUCGCAGAUACAGCCAAAGGCGACAUGAAAGAAAGCACAGAGCAAACUGGUGAAGGAACGUGGGCCUAAAGGGUCAGAGAUAAGGAAAGCAGACUUGAAGCAAAGCAAGACCAGCAUUUCCUGCUCCACUUUUGGGUCUACAGCUUAGAUCUGGCAUGAGGGAAAAACUCUCCAGUUCUCAGGGGAAAAAAAUGGAUCCUGGGAGUAAACAGGAGCAUCAACUUCAAGCUGAAUUCCAGGAAAAAAAAAAACUACAAAAACCAGAUCAAUCCUUACCAACCACACCCUUAGCAAACACCUUGUUUGGUGGGAAGGAAGACUAGGAGAAACUCUCCAAAGUUGUGUUUGGUGGCUGUGUGGUUCGUUGCUAAGCCUCUGAGAUCUGUCUUGUUUCAGAUCUGUGUUGUUCAUGCAGGAGAGUGGACGACUUGGAAACCCGCUGUGAUGGUUAAUUUCAACUCUGAAAUCAUCUAGGGGACAAGCCAAUGGGCCUGUUUCCUGGAGAUUUUCUAGACAGGAUUUCCUAAUUGGGGUAGCAAGAUCCACCCUGAUUAUGCACAGCACCAUGCUAUGGUUGGGACCCCAGUCUAGAACUGAGUGCUAGCUCUCAUUGCUCUGCACUUCCUGACUGAAGAUGCAAAAGGGCUAGACGCCUCAUGCUACCUCAGUACCUUCUUCACCAUGGUGAACAAGACUUUCAAGCCAUGAGCCUGCAUCAGCCCUUUCUGUUCUGAAGCUGUUUUCAUCACAGCAACGACCAAAAUACCUAAUAUGCUUGCCUCCACAUGGGAAGACUUCCUGGAAAGUGUGCACUGAGAUUCCGACCUGAUGGGUCGGUAUAUGACCCCUGUGGAGGUCAAAGGCAGAGGAGAAUUUGGGCUGACUGGGGACAGAGAAGGCCAAGGGCACUGGAGGGCUGUGGAGGUUGGGAACCAAGGUGACUAUGAAAGAGGGAUGCGCUGAGAGGGAACCACAUGCUGUGGGAAGUGUCUAGAGCAAGCUGGGAAGAGAGGAAGACAAUCAUGGUGAGGAAAUUACCUCUUGAAAAUCAUGACACCUGGACCACCUCCCCAGCUGUGGUGUGAGAAUAGAUGGAGACCCCUGAGCAGGCUGGAUUUGGGGAAAGAGUUGAAAGCCCACUCUGAGGUGAAAAAGAGUGGAUUAAGUUGGAUCGGAGAAGAAGAAUAUAGUAUCUCAUGAAUCAUUUGCAGGCAGCAGGGACCAACCUCACCCGGGGUUUUGUGGUUUGAGGGAGGGGGGCGCCUUGGAAGUUCCCAGUUUAAGCAAUUGUGUGCCCAGGAUAUUAAUGCUCAUUACUUAAAUAAAGAC
This is a long non-coding RNA of Alexandromys fortis (reed vole), 1992 nucleotides long. RefSeq lists it as uncharacterized. NCBI's taxonomy places the organism in Eukaryota, Metazoa, Chordata, Mammalia, Rodentia, Cricetidae. The record is from RefSeq and is a predicted model, not a curated record. The transcript is spliced from 4 exons.